This 494-nucleotide ribosomal RNA is filed under the name uncultured bacterium. RNAcentral's name for it is "partial 16S ribosomal RNA". It matches the Rfam family "Bacterial small subunit ribosomal RNA", at positions 28 to 507 of the family's 1533-position model. The record is from RNAcentral.
GACGAACGCUGGCGGCGUGCUUAACACAUGCAAGUCGAACGGAAAGGCCUGCUUUCCCUUGUGGAUUGCGGGUACUCGCGUGGCGAACGGGUGAGUAACACGUGAGUGAUCUGCCCCCAACUUGGGUAUAAGCCUGGGAAACUGGGUCUAAUUCCCGAUAGGACUGCAGGGUGGUUCCUGUGGUGGAAAACGAUUUUCUAGUGGUUGGGGAUGAGCUCGCGGCCUAUCAGCUUGUUGGUGGGGUAAUGGCCUACCAAGGCGGCGACGGGUAGCCGGCCUGGGAGGGUGGACGGCCACAUUGGGACUGAGAUACGGCCCAGACGCCUACGGGCGGCAGCAGUGGGGAGGAUGGCACAAUGGGCGUAAGCCUGAUGCAGCGACGCCGCGUGGGGGAUGCCGGGCUUCGGGUGGUAAACUCCUUUCGACCGAGAGGAAGCCACCUGGUUGGAAGGGUGGUGACGGUAGUGGUAGAAGAAGCACCGGCUAACUACGUG